CCUACGGGUGGCAGCAGUGGGGAAUAUUGCACAAUGGGCGAAAGCCUGAUGCAGCAACGCCGCGUGAGCGAUGAAGGCCUUCGGGUCGUAAAGCUCUGUCCUCAAGGAAGAUAAUGACGGUACUUGAGGAGGAAGCCCCGGCUAACUACGUGCCAGCAGCCGCGGUCAUACGUAGGAUCCGAGCAUUAUCCGGAGUGACUGGGUGUAAAGAGUUGCGUAGGUGGCAUAAUAAGUAGCUAGUGAAAUCUGGUGGCUCAACCAUUCAGACUAUUAGCUAAACUGUUAAGCUCGAGACCGUUAGGGGUAACUGGAAUUUCUAGUGUAGGAGUGAGAUCCGUAGAUAUUAGAAGGAACACCAAUAGCGUAGGCAGGUUGCUGGGACGGUUCUGACACUAAGGCACGAAAGCGUAGGGAGCAAACGGGAUUAGAUACCCUUGUAGUC
Molecule: ribosomal RNA, 442 nt
Filed under: uncultured bacterium
Lineage: Bacteria
Description: partial 16S ribosomal RNA
Rfam family: Bacterial small subunit ribosomal RNA
Source: RNAcentral